Molecule: long non-coding RNA, 495 nt
Filed under: Nicotiana benthamiana
Lineage: Eukaryota; Viridiplantae; Streptophyta; Magnoliopsida; Solanales; Solanaceae
Description: long non-coding RNA (NBEN_LNC028330)
Source: RNAcentral
UUUCUUUAAUUUUUCCCAUUGGGUUUUGGUUUUAAGGUUUAACGAGGCACAUUGUUGAAUAGACGUUCAAGGGGGAGUGUUAUGAAAUCUCCUAUUCAAGGGGGAGUAUUAAUCAUGGCAAUAUUUUUAAAUAGAAAAUUGAUGAAAUGAUCGAUCUUGUUAUCAUUGACUUAUCUUUAACUGAAUAGAAAAUUAAGUAUUUUUCUGGCCAUCAAGAUUUAGGUCGAUGAAAUGAAUCACCUUAUAUCUCCUCUAUUGGAAUUCAAACAUUAAUUCCAAAUAUUGUUACUCUCUCCGAGCUAGAAAUCCUCGUUUAAUUCUAGUCAUUAAAUAAACAAAACUUUAACGAAUAAUUAAUUGAUUUUCAAUCUUUUCGACCACUAGACCACCUCAUUAGGGUCGUAACGCUAAAAUUAUAAACCUUAAUAAAUGCAAACCAGAAUUUAUAAUGUAUUUCUUAGUUCAACUAGUGUUGCCUAAAAUUAAUUAAAAAAC